CCCGCUGAACUUAAGCAUAUUAUUAAGCGGAGGAAAAGAAACUAACAAGGACUCCCCUAGUAAUGGCGAAUGAACGGGGAAGAGCCCAGCACCGAAUCCCGCAGUGUUUCACUGCCGGGAACUGUGGUGUUUAGGCAAGCCUUUCCGGCAUUUCGAGGCAGUCAAAGUCCCCUUGAGGGGGGCCAUGGCCCAUAGCGGGUGCAAGGCCCAUACGACGUCUCUUGUGUCGGUUGGAGCUGCCGUGGAGUCGGGUUGCUUGAGAGUGCAGCCCAAAGUGGGUGGUAAACCCCAUCUAAGGCUACAUAUAACCACGAGACCGAUAGCAAACAAGUACCGUGAGGGAAAGUUGCAAAGAACUUUGAAGAGAGAGUUCAAAGGGCGUGAAACCGCUUAGAAGUAAACGGGUGGAGCUGCCAUUACGUCUACUGGAUUCAGCUUGUCGGUUGCAGACUGCUUUCUCUUGAUCGCAAGACAGGAGUGUGGUUCUGGUUUGUUGCCGAUAGGUGCAUUUUCGGUAGAAGUGCGCCACGACCAACUGGGACGUCAGCUAAAGGCCGGAGUGAUUGCCGUCUGUGAGCUUGCUUGCAGUGCCCCGUCCUCCGAGUCGGCUAGAUUGGCCCGGUUGAGUAAACGACCGCACCCGCUGUCACAGGUUAGUCGGUUUGGGGUCGCCGAAUGCCUAGCUGUGCACGCACGGCUGGGUGUACCCUGGUUUCAAAGCCGGCUAAUGCUGAGUUGGUGCAUAUGGUCAGUGGCGUCCGUGUCAGCCAACCACCCGACCCGUCUUGAAACACGG
Molecule: ribosomal RNA, 796 nt
Filed under: uncultured fungus
Lineage: Eukaryota; Fungi
Description: eukaryotic LSU rRNA
Rfam family: Eukaryotic large subunit ribosomal RNA
Source: RNAcentral